Molecule: ribosomal RNA, 370 nt
Filed under: uncultured organism
Description: bacterial SSU rRNA
Rfam family: Bacterial small subunit ribosomal RNA
Source: RNAcentral
CGAAGGGGGCUAGCGUUGCUCGGAAUUACUGGGCGUAAAGGGAGCGUAGGCGGAUAGUUUAGUCAGAGGUGAAAGCUCAGGGCUCAACCUUGGAAUUGCCUUUGAUACUGGCUAUCUUGAGUACGGAAGAGGUAUGUGGAACUCCGAGUGUAGAGGUGAAAUUCGUAGAUAUUCGGAAGAACACCAGUGGCGAAGGCGACAUACUGGUCCGUUACUGACGCUGAGGCUCGAAAGCGUGGGGAGCAAACAGGAUUAGAUACCCUGGUAGUCCACGCUGUAAACGAUGAGUGCUAGUUGUCGGCAGGCAUGCCUGUCGGUGACGCAGCUAACGCAUUAAGCACUCCGCCUGGGGAGUACGGUCGCAAGAUUA